Molecule: ribosomal RNA, 279 nt
Filed under: uncultured bacterium
Lineage: Bacteria
Description: partial 16S ribosomal RNA
Rfam family: Bacterial small subunit ribosomal RNA
Source: RNAcentral
UGCCAGCCGCCGCGGUAAUACGGAGGGGGCUAGCGUUGUUCGGAUUUACUGGGCGUAAAGCGCGCGUAGGCGGUUUAGAUAGUCAGGCGUGAAAGCCCCGGGCUCAACCUGGGAACUGCGUUUGAUACUACUAAGCUAGAGUCCGGGAGAGGGUAGUGGAAUUCCCAGUGUAGAGGUGAAAUUCGUAGAUAUUGGGAAGAACACCAGUGGCGAAGGCGGCUACCUGGACCGGUACUGACGCUGAGGUGCGAAAGCGUGGGGAGCAAACAGGAUUAGAUA